GCAGUGGUGGUUCAGUGGUAGAAUUCUUGUCUUCCAUGCAGGAGACCCAGGUUUGAUUCCUGGCCAAUGCA
RNAcentral lists this transfer RNA (71 nucleotides) under Loxodonta africana (African savanna elephant). RNAcentral describes it as "tRNA-Gly (TCC) (tRNA-Gly-TCC-25-1)". It matches the Rfam family "tRNA". Rfam says of the family: Transfer RNA (tRNA) molecules are approximately 80 nucleotides in length. Lineage: Eukaryota; Metazoa; Chordata; Mammalia; Proboscidea; Elephantidae. The record is from Rfam by way of RNAcentral.